UACGGAAGCAGCAGUGGGGAAUAUUGCACAAUGGGCGCAAGCCUGAUGCAGCCAUGCCGCGUGUAUGAAGAAGGCCUUCGGGUUGUAAAGUACUUUCAGUCGUGAGGAAGGUGUUAAGGUUAAUAACCUUAGCAAUUGACGUUAGCGACAGAAGAAGCACCGGCUAACUCCGUGCCAGCAGCCGCGGUAAUACGGAGGGUGCGAGCGUUAAUCGGAAUUACUGGGCGUAAAGGGCACGCAGGCGGUUAAUUAAGUUGGAUGUGAAAUCCCCGGGCUUAACCUGGGAAUGGCAUUCAAGACUGGUUAGCUAGAGUCUUGUAGAGGGGGUAGAAUUCCAUGUGUAGCGGUGAAAUGCGUAGAGAUGUGGAGGAAAUACCGGUGGCGAAGGCGGCCCCUGGACAAAAGACUGACGCUCAUGUGCGAAAGCGUGGGGAGCAAACAGGAUUAGAUACC
Molecule: ribosomal RNA, 453 nt
Filed under: uncultured bacterium
Lineage: Bacteria
Description: bacterial SSU rRNA
Rfam family: Bacterial small subunit ribosomal RNA
Source: RNAcentral